GCAGCUGGAUGAUCAAGACCCAUCAUCUCCUUCCCCAAGAAAAAUAAAAGGCAUGUUUUCUGAGCUUCAGAAGCAAACUGCUCCUUCGCUCCUUCCCCCUGUCUCUCCGAGCGCCUGUCUGAACUGGUGUCAGUGAAGUUUGAACCGGGGCAGAAAUAGCAUCCCGGGCGGAUCUGGGAGCAUAGCCCGCCUACCAGGAGCGGCAAGGCCUGCCUCUGCCAGACGACAGACCCGGUUAACAGCACCGUAAAAUUAGACCUUUACGAAACCCAAUUGAAUCCUGCAGCAAAGAGUGAUGUAAGGCAGCCUGGCCUGACAGCAAGACAGCAACUCUCUGCCUGAAAUAGCAGCGCGGUCCCUGCUGAGCGAUGACUGCUCUCUCAAGAUAGGUGACCAGGGAUUCCUAGGAAAGUGGCAACGCCCAGCCAGAGAAAGCCAGCAGAGGUCAGGCAGCAAACUGGGCACCUGAGGUCGCCGCGAGAGGGUGAGCCUUCGCACCCGAUCCUUGCUGCCCACCUCGGUCCUGGCUCUCCCAGCCCAAACUUACACGAAGGAGGGAGCUGAAAAAGUACUUCUGCAAAGAACCUCUGUUUGUUUGCUUUUUAAUUCAAGGAGAAGCAGGUUCUUUUUAGUCCAACAGCCUGUACCAUGUGGAGGAUAUGCAGAAUGAGUCUUUUCUGGCUCAGAGCCAGGUGUUUACACGCCGCCAAAUCUGGCUCCAACUCAACUAGGGGAGGGAAAAGAAAUCCACCAGAAUCCUCAGGGGAAAAGCUCCUGGCUUUCUGGUGCUACACGACAGCAGUGCUUAUUUAUUUAUUUUAUUUUUUUCGUUUUGAGAGGAAUGUUAUUUCUACACAUAAAAUGGACCAGGCAUUUUAUACAAGCAAUAAUAACCUAACGCCCCC
This 905-nucleotide long non-coding RNA is filed under the name Homo sapiens (human). Its description in RNAcentral is "HSALNT0154535". The record is from RNAcentral. Lineage: Eukaryota; Metazoa; Chordata; Mammalia; Primates; Hominidae.